GAUUCUCACUGUUUCCUGCUUUGGAGCAUAAGCUGGACAGAGAAUACCAUCGGAGCUCCUCUGGAACAUGUCCUUGUCUUCUCAGAGUGUGAAGUGUGUGUGUGACAGUGCUUUUCUGAGGACUCAGGUGACCUGGAGGCUGGAGAACAGCAUGGAGCAAGGAAAACAAAGACGAUGUGCUGGAGUGUAUGUUGCUUUCAUAAUUAUGUGAAAGAAAAUGUAGAGAAAUUUGAAAGGAGAACUGGUUAUCAGUAGUGCCAUCCUGCUCAAAUAUCUUCAAAUACACACCACCAUCCAUGUGUGGGUUGAUUAAGGAGCUGACGUUCAUUAGAUCUGCAGUCUCCUGACCUGAUGUGCAUCAGAAUCACUGGGAGAACAAACAAACAAAAAUGAAUCCAAAACAAGCAACGAACAGACAGAUUCUCAAGUCUUGCCAAGUCCAAAGAUUGAUUUGGUGGAGAAAUUGUACUUUGAAAGCUGCCCAGGUAAUAAUUCUGGCAUAUAGCCAGGUUUGUAAAAUCUUGAAUGAACUGUCUUGGGCAAACAAAGGAAUUCUAGUUUUUUAUCUGCCAGCUUUUAAAAAUUUCCCAUCUUUGAAAGGAAAGUGUUACAUUAAUCACAAACUCCCAUGGUCAAGGUGAUAGCAAAACAACACUGU
Molecule: long non-coding RNA, 658 nt
Filed under: Homo sapiens (human)
Lineage: Eukaryota; Metazoa; Chordata; Mammalia; Primates; Hominidae
Description: HSALNT0372833
Source: RNAcentral